UCCAGACUCCUACGGGAGGCAGCAGUGGGGGAUAUUGCACAAUGGGGGAAACCCUGAUGCAGCGACGCCGCGUGGGUGAAGAAGUAUUUCGGUAUGUAAAGCCCUAUCAGCAGGGAAGAAAGAAGACGGUACCUGACUAAGAAGCCCCGGCUAACUACGUGCCAGCAGCCGCGGUAAUACGUAGGGGGCGAGCGUUAUCCGGAUUCACUGGGUGUAAAGGGAGCGUAGACGGCCGUGCAAGCCAGGAGUGAAAGCCCGGGGCCCAACCCCGGGACUGCUCUUGGAACUGUGCGGCUGGAGUGCGGGAGGGGCAGGCGGAAUUCCUGGUGUAGCGGUGAAAUGCGUAGAUAUCAGGAGGAACACCGGCGGCGAAGGCGGCCUGCUGGACCGCGACUGACGUUGAGGCUCGAAAGCGUGGGGAGCGAACAGGAUUAGAUACCCCUGUAG
This 447-nucleotide ribosomal RNA is filed under the name uncultured bacterium. RNAcentral's name for it is "bacterial SSU rRNA". It matches the Rfam family "Bacterial small subunit ribosomal RNA", at positions 330 to 793 of the family's 1533-position model. The record is from RNAcentral.